RNAcentral lists this ribosomal RNA (492 nucleotides) under uncultured bacterium. RNAcentral's name for it is "partial 16S ribosomal RNA". It matches the Rfam family "Bacterial small subunit ribosomal RNA", at positions 29 to 507 of the family's 1533-position model. The record is from RNAcentral.
AGUGAACGCUGGCGGUAGGCCUAACACAUGCAAGUCGAACGGCAGCACAGUAAGGGCUUGCUCUUACGGGUGGCGAGUGGCGGACGGGUGAGGAAUACAUCGGAAUCUACUUUUUCGUGGGGGAUAACGUAGGGAAACUUACGCUAAUACCGCAUACGACCUACGGGUGAAAGCAGGGGAUCUUCGGACCUUGCGCGAUUGAAUGAGCCGAUGUCGGAUUAGCUAGUUGGCGGGGUAAAGGCCCACCAAGGCGACGAUCCGUAGCUGGUCUGAGAGGAUGAUCAGCCACACUGGAACUGAGACACGGUCCAGAAUCCGACGGGAGGCAGCAGUGGGGAAUAUUGGACGAUGGGCGCAAGCCUGAUCCAGCCAUACCGCGUGAGUGAAGAAGGCCUUCGGGUUGUAAAGCCCUUUUGUUGGGAAAGAAAAGCAGCAGGUUAAUACCCCGCUGUUCUGACGGUACCCAAAGAAUAAGCACCGGCUAACUUCGUG